Molecule: ribosomal RNA, 1659 nt
Filed under: Triticum aestivum (bread wheat)
Lineage: Eukaryota; Viridiplantae; Streptophyta; Magnoliopsida; Poales; Poaceae
Description: partial small subunit ribosomal RNA
Source: RNAcentral
AUGCCGCCUCGUCCCCAGCCGCCACCGGCGGCGUACAAGCACUUCUGCAGAGUCUGCAACAAGGGGUUCACGUGCGGCAGCGCGCUCGGCGGGCACAUGAGGGCCCACGCCGUCGCCGACGACGGCCCGGGCGCCGACGACGACGACGACGAUCCCGUGUCGUCUGCGCGCGGCGGGGAAGAUGGGCCGUCCACGGCAGGAGCAGCGACGACGCACGUCUACGCGCUCCGGGCGAACCCUAACCGCCUCACCAGGGGCUGCCAGGUGUGCAAGAACUGUGGGAAGGAGUUCUCUUCGAUGGAGCUUUUCCUGGAGCACGGCAAGUGCACCUCGGGGGAAGAGGAGGACGCCGACGGAUCGUCGCCUCCGUCCGUGGCCGACGAAGAGGAGAACGCUUCGCUGGCCUCUGGGUGGUCAAAGGGGAAGCGCUCGCGCCGCGCCAAGUCGAUCGCUGGCGGAGGCGAUGAUACAAUGCCCGGGCCGUCAACGGCGCCGUCUGGCGAGGACGAGGAGGAGGACCUGGCAAAUUGCCUCGUCAUGCUCUCGUCGUCCAAGGCCGAUCAGGCUAGCGCCGCCGCCGAGGCCGACCCAGAGCCAUGCGCGCCGGCCAGCAAGGAACACGGGAGAAGGCCUCAUCCACAGCCGCAGCACUUCCCGAUCGUCAUAGCGGCGCCGGAUCAAGCGAUAAUGCUGCCCCUGGCGUUGCCAGCACCGCAACCGCAAUACGCCUCGCCCCUGCCACGCGGCUUGUUCGAGUGCAAGGCAUGCAAGAAGGUGUUCACUUCGCACCAAGCUCUCGGCGGACACCGUGCCAGCCACAAGAAGGUCAAGGGCUGCUUCGCUGCCAAGCCCGAGAGCAGCGUCGGUGGAACACCUCACCACCACGCAGCGGCCGCCGGUCCCAGCGAUGAAAAGGGUGAUGCCGCCGCCGUCGAUGUCAUCCAUGCAAGUGGCAGCGUUGAUGCCAGGACAAACGCCGAUGCCAGCACCGGUGGCGACACGAACGCCGGGACGAGCGGGGCCACGCCAUCCCUGUCAAUGGCCAUCACGACCACCGACCAUGAACCGCCGGUCGCGGGGUUGGCCAUUGCACCGUUCAAGAAGAAGGCCAAGAUGCACGAGUGCUCCGUGUGCCACCGCCUCUUCGCCUCUGGUCAAGCGCUCGGAGGCCACAAGCGGUGCCACUGGCUCACUUCGGGGACAGGGGAUCACGCCAACAUCACAUCCCUGACAGCCGAAGGCCUGGUCGCCGCUGCCGGCCAGCAGCUCACUCUCCGGCUAAUGAUGGACCCUCCAGAGCCGGCGCUAGACCUCACCAUCGCGGCCAACCCGUUGCCGUUGAUGGCCAGCGCGACGGUCGCCGAGGCCAGAACCAGCUCGCUGCACCUUGACGCGUCCCCGUCGCUCUACUUCCAGCCAGCGGCGGCACCAAGCAAUCCCAGCCACCAGAACAAGAUGGCCGCGACGAGCAGCCACAACGCUAACGACGCUGCUACUCCCCGCGAGGCCGCCGAGGACGAGGCGGACAGCACAGCCGUCAAGAAGGCCAAGCUUAGUGAUCUCAAGGACGUGAGUGCAGCGGGGGAGACGACGCCGUGGUUGCAGGUCGGCAUUGGCUCCUCGUCGGCCGGUGGUGACGGGAAGAGUGCCUGCGAAUGA